Molecule: long non-coding RNA, 659 nt
Filed under: Lathyrus oleraceus (garden pea)
Lineage: Eukaryota; Viridiplantae; Streptophyta; Magnoliopsida; Fabales; Fabaceae
Description: Pisum sativum (pea) long non-coding RNA (PSAT_LNC037551)
Source: RNAcentral
CAAGAGUAAGCUAUGUGAGGUCGAUGGCGAUGCUUAAAAAGCAAUCGACUUACAAGGGUGUAAAAAAUGGGCUCGAUAUUAAAUCGAGAAAAACAUGAUUUUUAUAGUUUUAAAAAUGGUUUUGAAUUAAAAUACAACAACUUUACAUUAUUAACAAAAUGAACAUAUGAGUGUAAUAAAGGCAUAAACAUAAAAAGAGACUAAAAUGCUAAAAGAAAAAAUAAUAUAGCUAAAAGAAAUAAAAUGCCAAAAAAGGUCACACAUGAGUAUUGAACCCACCCCACUCAAGAGCAUACACACUACCCUUCUCCACCAGACCACUCAUCAUUAUCUGCUACUGAGAUACUACGUUAAAUAUAUGAACCGGGCUAAAAAAAUAAAAAGAUUUUAAAAAAAACAAAAUAAACAUUUUUAUGGUUUUUGUGUUAAAAACAAAUUAAAUAAUAAAAGAAAAAAUUAAAAAAAAAAGAAAAAAAGAAAAUGGAAACACAGAGGUUCGUCUUCAUCGCCAUCGUCCUCCCCACCUCACGAACUCAACCUUCCCAAACUCACUCCUUCACUCUCUCUUCUCUCGGUAAUGUUCAUCAACACUCACCAAACUUCACAUUUCUCUCAAUCCCACUCUCGUUCUCAACGAACCCCUCUCAAUCACUCUCAGC